Molecule: ribosomal RNA, 449 nt
Filed under: uncultured bacterium
Lineage: Bacteria
Description: partial 16S ribosomal RNA
Rfam family: Bacterial small subunit ribosomal RNA
Source: RNAcentral
AACGAACGCUGGCGGCAUGCCUAACACAUGCAAGUCGAACGAGAUCUUCGGGUCUAGUGGCGCACGGGUGCGUAACGCGUGGGAAUCUGCCCUUUGGUUCGGAAUAACAGUUGGAAACGACUGCUAAUACCGGAUGAUGACGAAAGUCCAAAGAUUUAUCGCAAGAGGAUGAGCCCGCGUAGGAUUAGCUAGUUGGUGUGGUAAAGGCGCACCAAGGCGACGAUCCUUAGCGGGUCUGAGAGGAUGAUCAGCCACACUGGGACUGAGACACGGCCCAGACUCCUACGGGAGGCAGCAGUGGGGAAUAUUGGACAAUGGGCGAAAGCCUGAUCCAGCAAUGCCGCGUGGGUGAUGAAGGCCUUAGGGUUGUAAAGCUCUUUUACCCGGGAUGAUAAUGACAGUACCGGGAGAAUAAGCUCCGGCUAACUCCGUGCCAGCCGCCGCCGUAA